GAUGAACGCUGGCGGCGUGCCUAAUACAUGCAAGUCGAGCGAACAGAUGAGGAGCUUGCUCCUCUGACGUUAGCGGCGGACGGGUGAGUAACACGUGGAUACCCUACCUAUAAGACUGGGAUAACUUCGGGAAACCGGAGCUAAUACCGGAUAAUAUAUUGAACCGCAUGGUUCAAUAGUGAAAGACGGUUUUGCUGUCACUUAUAGAUGGAUCCGCGCCGCAUUAGCUAGUUGGUAAGGUAACGGCUUACCAAGGCAACGAUGCGUAGCCGACCUGAGAGGGUGAUCGGCCACACUGGAACGGAGACACGGUCCAGACUCCUACGGGAGGCAGCAGUAGGGAAUCUUCCGCAAUGGGCGAAAGCCUGACGGAGCAACGCCGCGUGAGUGAUGAAGGUCUUCGGAUCGUAAAACUCUGUUAUUAGGGAAGAACAAAUGUGUAAGUAACUAUGCACGUCUUGACGGUACCUAAUCAGAAAGCCACGGCUAACUACGUG
This 497-nucleotide ribosomal RNA is filed under the name uncultured bacterium. RNAcentral describes it as "partial 16S ribosomal RNA". It matches the Rfam family "Bacterial small subunit ribosomal RNA", at positions 28 to 507 of the family's 1533-position model. The record is from RNAcentral.